AAGCUUAGCACUCUCGUGCAUGUGUAACGUCGGGGCGCAAAAUCAUUGUAUACGACUUGAAUACUGGUCAGGGGGUUGUAAUCAUAGAGCAGCUCUUCGCUGCGAUCUGUUGAGACUUAGCCCUUGAUCGGAUGAUUGU
RNAcentral lists this ribosomal RNA (139 nucleotides) under Meloidogyne arenaria. RNAcentral describes it as "28S rRNA". The record is from RNAcentral. Lineage: Eukaryota; Metazoa; Nematoda; Chromadorea; Rhabditida; Meloidogynidae.